GAUGAACGCUAGCGGCAGGCUUAAUACAUGCAAGUCGAGGGGCAGCACAGGAUAGCAAUAUUUGGGUGGCGACCGGCAAACGGGUGCGGAACACGUACGCAACCUUCCUUUAAGUGUGGGAUAGCCCAGGGAAACUUGGAUUAAUACCACGUAAGAUAGCAGAGUGGCAUCACUUAGCUAUUAUAGCUCCGGCGCUUAAGGAUGGGCGUGCGGCUGAUUAGGUAGUUGGCAGGGUAACGGCCUACCAAGCCUUCGAUCAGUAACUGGUGUGAGAGCACGACCAGUCACACGGGCACUGAGACACGGGCCCGACUCCUACGGGAGGCAGCAGUAAGGAAUAUUGGUCAAUGGACGCAAGUCUGAACCAGCCAUGCCGCGUGAAGGAUGACGGCCCUCUGGGUUGUAAACUUCUUUUAUCUGGGAAGAAAUGCCAUUUUUCUAAAUGGUUUGACGGUACCAGGUGAAUAAGCACCGCUAAC
This 479-nucleotide ribosomal RNA is filed under the name Bacteroidetes bacterium oral taxon 320. RNAcentral describes it as "bacterial SSU rRNA". It matches the Rfam family "Bacterial small subunit ribosomal RNA", at positions 28 to 501 of the family's 1533-position model. Lineage: Bacteria; Pseudomonadati; Bacteroidota. The record is from RNAcentral.